Molecule: ribosomal RNA, 459 nt
Filed under: uncultured bacterium
Lineage: Bacteria
Description: partial 16S ribosomal RNA
Rfam family: Bacterial small subunit ribosomal RNA
Source: RNAcentral
CCUACGGGAGGCAGCAGUGAGGAAUCUUGGUCAAUGGACGAGAGUCUGAACCAGCCAAGUAGCGUGAAGGAUGACUGCCCUAUGAGUUGUAAACUUCUGUUAUAAAGGAAUAAAAUGAGGAACGUGUGCCGUUUUGCAUGUACUGAAUGAAUAAGGAGCGGCUAGCUCCGUGCCAGCAGCGUCGGUAAUACGGGGGAGGAGAGCGUUCUCCGUAUGUAUUGGGUUAAAAGGGUGCGUAGGCGGAUUUUAAAGUCAGAGGUAAAAUGUCCGGGCUCAAACCGGGCCGGCCGUUGAAACUGGGGAUCUUGAGUGGGCGAGAAGUAUGCGGAAUGCGUGGUGGAGCGGUGAAAUGCAUAGAUAUCACGCAGAACGCCGAUGGCGAAGGCAGCAUACCGGCGCCCGACUGACGCUGAGGCACGAAGGCGUGGGGAUCGAACAGGAUUAGAUACCCUUGUAGUC